RNAcentral lists this ribosomal RNA (322 nucleotides) under uncultured soil bacterium. RNAcentral's name for it is "bacterial SSU rRNA". It matches the Rfam family "Bacterial small subunit ribosomal RNA", at positions 26 to 346 of the family's 1533-position model. The record is from RNAcentral.
AGAUUGAACGCUGGCGGCAGGCCUAACACAUGCAAGUCGAGCGGCAGCACGGGUACUUGUACCUGGUGGCGAGCGGCGGACGGGUGAGUAAUGCCUAGGAAUCUGCCUGGUAGUGGGGGAUAACGCUCGGAAACGGACGCUAAUACCGCAUACGUCCUACGGGAGAAAGCAGGGGACCUUCGGGCCUUGCGCUAUCAGAUGAGCCUAGGUCGGAUUAGCCAGUUGGUGAGGUAAAUGGCUCACCCAAGGCGACGAUCCGUAACUGGUCUGAGAGGAUGAUCAGUCACACUGGAACUGAGACACGGUCCAGACUCCUACGGGA